This 776-nucleotide long non-coding RNA is filed under the name Gossypium barbadense (sea-island cotton). RNAcentral describes it as "long non-coding RNA (GBAR_LNC022007)". Lineage: Eukaryota; Viridiplantae; Streptophyta; Magnoliopsida; Malvales; Malvaceae. The record is from RNAcentral.
UCCAUUGCUCUACUCUUUCUCUUCUGAAAAAGCAAAGAAAGAAUCGGUUCUCAACCAAACUUUGAUUUUGCUCUGCUUCUCUUUUGUCAAAUUCCAUUUAUUCUCCUUCACUCUCUCACUUUGACAGUCAGGCAAGCAAUUUUCACCCCUUCCUUCCCUUUUGCUGCGACAUUUUACUGUUUCAUAAUCAAUUGCUAAAUUACUAUUUUUGAUAUUGUAGAGUGAUUGUUGUGCUUUGUAUCUUGUUUGGGGUUUUUAGGGCUUUGGGAAUUAGUCUCUCUAGAAAUCAAGGUCUGAGUUUUAGUGGGAUUAUUGGUUAUUAUGGGGCGUUAUUUUGAGGGAUUUCAAGGUUUUUUUCUUUGGUCAGUGUUGAUUAAAUAAAAUUGAUUUUAACAGAAUUGCUUCCUCUUCAUUUCUUUGCCUUUAAGCUAGGAGAGCUUAGUUGAUUUGAACAUUCUUUAUGCAUGAUUAAAUUAAUUCUUAAUUGUUCCGGCAAUCUUUCAAGUGAAGGGUGAUGGGUUGGUCGAGUUUUUCUUGAAAUUUGAUUUUUGUAAUAUUCUUCUUUUAGGGGAUAGAACCAGGUAUUUCCAGUUGCAUAGGUUAAAAUCUGUACUCAGCACUGAGAUAUUUGCCGUUUUUUUAGAAACCUUUAUAAUGGCUAUUGUGUAGCUGCUAAUAGGUGGUACCCGUUGUUUUGACAGAGCAGGUCCUUCAAAGGCAGAGAGAGGUCCCUGGAUAUUCUUUUUCCGAAUACAUGGAUUAGAGUACUGGUCGCA